RNAcentral lists this ribosomal RNA (253 nucleotides) under uncultured bacterium. RNAcentral describes it as "partial 16S ribosomal RNA". It matches the Rfam family "Bacterial small subunit ribosomal RNA", at positions 524 to 776 of the family's 1533-position model. The record is from RNAcentral.
UACGAAGGGGGCUAGCGUUGUUCGGAAUUACUGGGCGUAAAGGGCGCGUAGGCGGCUUCGCUAGUCGGGCGUGAAAUGCCUGGGCUUAACCCGGGAAUUGCGUUCGAUACUUCGAGGCUAGAGUGUGGGAGAGGUUGGUGGAAUUCCCAGUGUAGAGGUGAAAUUCGUAGAUAUUGGGAAGAACACCGGUGGCGAAGGCGGCUCACUGGCUCGUAACUGACGCUCAUGCACGACAGCGUGGGGAUCAAACAGG